AGUGAACGCUGGCGGUAGGCCUAACACAUGCAAGUCGAACGGCAGCACAGUAAAAGCUUGCUCUUACGGGAGGCGAGUGGCGGACGGGUGAGGAAUACAUCGGAAUCUACUUUUUCGUGGGGGAUAACGUAGGGAAACUUACGCUAAUACCGCAUACGACCUACGGGUGAAAGCAGGGGAUCUUCGGACCUUGCGCGAUUGAAUGAGCCGAUGUCGGAUUAGCUAGUUGGCGGGGUAAAGGCCCACCAAGGCGACGAUCCGUAGCUGGUCUGAGAGGAUGAUCAGCCCCACUGGAACUGAGACACGGUCCAGACUCCUACGGGAGGCCGCAGUCGGGAAUAUUGGACAAUGGGCGAAAGCCUGCUCCAGCCAUACCGCGUGGGUGAAGAAGGCCUUCGGGUUGUAAAGCCCUUUUGUUGGGAAAGAAAAGCAGCAGGUUAAUACCCCGCUGUUCUGACGGUACCCAAAGAAUAAGCACCGGCUAACUUCGUG
Molecule: ribosomal RNA, 492 nt
Filed under: uncultured bacterium
Lineage: Bacteria
Description: partial 16S ribosomal RNA
Rfam family: Bacterial small subunit ribosomal RNA
Source: RNAcentral